GACGAACGCUGGCGGCGUGCUUAACACAUGCCAGUCGAACGCUGAAGCUCAGCUUUUGUUGGGUGGAUGAGUGGCGAGCGGGUGAGUAACACGUGAGUAACCUGCCCCCUUCUUUGGGAUAACGCCCGGAAACGGGUGCUAAUACUGGAUAUUCACUGGUCUUCGCAUGGGGGUUGGUGGAAAGGGUUUUUCUGGUGGGGGAUGGGCUCGCGGCCUAUCAGCUUGUUGGUGGGGUGAUGGCCUACCAAGGCUUUGACGGGUAGCCGGCCUGAGAGGGUGACCGGUCACAUUGGGACUGAGAUACGGCCCAGACUCCUACGGGAGGCAGCAGUGGGGAAUAUUGCACAAUGGGCGCAAGCCUGAUGCAGCGACGCCGCGUGAGGGAUGGAGGCCUUCGGGUUGUGAACCUCUUUCGCUCAUGGUCAAGCCGCAACAAUGGUUGUGGUGAGGGUAGUGGGUAAAGAAGCGCCGGCUAACUACGUG
Molecule: ribosomal RNA, 483 nt
Filed under: uncultured bacterium
Lineage: Bacteria
Description: partial 16S ribosomal RNA
Rfam family: Bacterial small subunit ribosomal RNA
Source: RNAcentral